Molecule: long non-coding RNA, 1479 nt
Organism: Notolabrus celidotus (New Zealand spotty)
Lineage: Eukaryota; Metazoa; Chordata; Actinopteri; Labriformes; Labridae
Exons: 2
Source: RefSeq, a predicted model, not a curated record
AUCCCUCCCUCUCUCAAUGUCACAUAAACUGUGCGACGGCCUUGGCGUUAAAUUGAGUGGAAUUGAUUUUACGCAGCGAGCAGAAAAGGCGGCAAGCAUCCAGAGACAUCUGAAGGGCUUGCCCCCCCCCCCCUACUCCUCCAAAAAAAAGACAAAAAAAAGAGAUUAUAGUUAUAUAAGUUUCCCUCCCACUCCCUCCAUCCUCCCAGCCAUCAGCAGGGGUGUUGCCAUAGCAACCCCCACCCCUCGGUUUUAAACGUCAGAGCCAGGAGCUGGAGAAUGAAGCCGCAUGCAGCUCCUGUCUCUCGUGCCUCUCAGAGAGCACCUGUGAUUUUGGACACCUCACAUGCAGCAGUCGGAAGAACAGCGCUGGAGGAAAUCUGGUGAUUGAUUUGAGUCUCGGCUGCUGCACAUCGAGUACCAUCCAACAGAGACAGACAAACUGAUUCUGCUGCACUGAAAGCAGUGAUGUCGUGGCUCUUCCUGGACUGGUUCGUCCCCCUCUACUUGCUAGUGUCGGUGCUGGUGCUGGCAGGGUUUGGAGCGUGUCUGUACUUCUUGGAGCCUGGGCUGCAGGAUGCCCACAAGUGGAGCAACAAAACAGUCCGGCAUCACCCGCUGGUAGCCAGCGUGAACUGCAGAGAUGACGAUAGCAAUGCUCUGAUAUGAUCGAGAGGGCGAGGUGGAGCGGGGCGCGCCAUCUGGACAGGGGUGCUGCCAGGACACUAGAGGGAGGGGGGACAGGAGCCAACACCUUAAAGAUGGAGACAGGAAAUUGAAGAGAAAGAUGGAGGGGGGAUGAUCUGAUAAGGGGAGCCCUGUCUUUUCAUCCUAACUUUUCUCUGAUCUCUUUCACACUUUAGGCUGUAGACAUCAGGGGAAAGUGAAGCAGAUGGGUGUAAAAGAAUUUGAAAAUGACACCAAAUGCACAAGGAGGAGAAGACUACACACGGUUAAUUGAGGACAUGUUGCCCUUUAGAAAAGUGGUUGUAACUUAAUGUAAAUUUCAUUCCCAUCUUAUACUUGUUCCUACUUUUACAUACGUUUUUGUAUCUCGACAAUCACUUUACAUAUUUCAUGAAGUCUACUUAUGGUGUGCAUUCAUUUAGUGCAGUGAAUGACAUUAAGUGCAAUGAAUUUGCUACCAUCGGGGAGGGUUUUAAUCCUCCCUCUGGUGGUGUCAGCUUGGCAGCUGCUGAAAAGCAUGUGGAUUGUUAGUGCCAAUGUGCCAAAAAUGGUGUAGUAGUGACUGUAUCCAAAAUAUAUGUGUACUGAAUAAAUACAAGGGAUCUAUUCGAAGUGCCAAGGUUACCUUAGAUGGACCAAGAAAACAGAAAAACAGUAUUUGGUAAUGCCUAAAGUGUAUAUUAUGGUUUUUCAUUGUUUUUACUUGACAGCAUGGUGAGGAAACUGGGUGUGACACCCUUUUUGAUGAUCAUAUGCUUCCUUUGUUCAUACAAAAUAAAACAGUUACUCUCA